Long non-coding RNA from Carcharodon carcharias (great white shark), 291 nucleotides. RefSeq lists it as uncharacterized. The record is from RefSeq and is a predicted model, not a curated record. The transcript is spliced from 3 exons. NCBI's taxonomy places the organism in Eukaryota, Metazoa, Chordata, Chondrichthyes, Lamniformes, Lamnidae.
AUCACAAUCAACAGAGAGACCAGGGAAGCAGAAAACAGGCCAGAGUGAGUCGACUGCACAAAGUCACACACAACAGCAGGCAGCAACAGAAAAUCGGUGGCAAACAGGCACGCCUGAAUCUCCAGAGCUUCUGAGGGGACAGUACUGCAAAUCCUUCCCCGGAAGUGAAUGUGGCUAUUGCAACUGUCUCAGUAAGAACAUCCAGUAGAUGGUUUUCCUCAUUUUCAUUGGCUUCUUCAGGGAUGGAUGGCUGAAGGCUCUCUGGAUCAGAGUUGCUUCUUACAUACCCAG